UGCAACUUCAAGGCUUCAAUCAGGUUUCAUUAUCUUCUCCUUAUAUAACGAUUUCUUGUUUUUGUUUCUUCUACAUUCUACCCUAGCUCCAGAGCAACUUGCUUGGUGUGGAAUGGACAGUGUAUUGCUGUAUUGGGAUGAUAUACUUCUGAUGGUGGGCCCUUAUGGAGAUCCAGUUCGCUAUCUUGAUGAUGAACCCAUUAUCCUUAUCCCAGAGUGUGAUCGAGCUAGGAUAUUGUCUAACUUAAACAUGGAGUUUCUUCAACAGGAGGAAUUUCCUCAUCCUCUAUCCCGUGUCAAGCAACCAGCUGGAUAUAGAGUAAGUUCAAUCAUUAAUAUUAUUAGUUCUUUUUGUUUCUAUUACAUAAUUAACUUUUGUAUUUUACAUGUGUUGUUGCAGUUGUCAUAUCAGAUAGAUAGUUGACUCUUUAAUUUGGCUUGGAAUUCGAGACAUGAUAACUGAUGUUAGGAAGAAAAAGUUGAAUCUGUGACCUGUCACGUAUUUUAGUGGUUCUCAAGGCUCUGAGACUGUUAUUCCACAUGGAUACAUAUGGAGUCCUCAUCUUGUUCCUAAACCAAAAGAUUGGGGACCUAAAAUUUAUGUGGUUCGAUUUUGUUUCCUUGAUCUCGCAUCAAACUACAAACCCCCUGAAGAACUUGUAUGAUGGCUUGAAGCUGGCCCAAAGGCUAUCUACAUUAGAUUUGGUAGCCUUCCAGUUCAAGAGCCUGAGAAAAUAACACAGACAAUCAUUAAAGCCCUAGAAAUAUCAGGACAAAGGGGCAUCAUCAACAAAGGAUGGGGUGGUCUUGGUAUCUGAAACUUUUCGGAGAAGGUCUGGGAUCAAGCACCAUUGGUUAACUACAAAAGCUUGAACAACAGCUAGAGAGGAGUGUAUCCAUCAUUUGUGCUUGAAAGAUGCAAGUAUAUAAUGAACAAAUUCAAGAACUACAAGCAAAGGAACAAUACAUAAAUACAAUUAUAUAAUGAACAAAUUCUAUUUUUUGUUCAUAUUUGUUCUCUAGUACAUUCUACCUUGUAGAAGACUGUUUAAUAAUCAUUUCUUCUAAUUUCAAACCAAAAAAAUGACACAAGUUAUUUAUUUUCGGAUUCUUCCAACUUCUUAUGAAACAGCUUCCUUAGAAGGCAAUGAUGGAAUCGCUCAUCUCUCUGUGACUGUAAUGGCCCCACAAAUAUU
Molecule: non-coding RNA, 1196 nt
Organism: Lactuca sativa (garden lettuce)
Lineage: Eukaryota; Viridiplantae; Streptophyta; Magnoliopsida; Asterales; Asteraceae
Source: RefSeq, a predicted model, not a curated record